This 459-nucleotide ribosomal RNA is filed under the name uncultured bacterium. RNAcentral describes it as "bacterial SSU rRNA". It matches the Rfam family "Bacterial small subunit ribosomal RNA", at positions 29 to 497 of the family's 1533-position model. The record is from RNAcentral.
AACGAACGCUGGCGGCGUGCCUAACACAUGCAAGUCGAACGGCAGCACAAUACAGGGUAACCUGUAUGGGUGGCGAGUGGCGGACGGGUGAGUAAUGCGUAGGAAUCUGCCUUAAGGUGGGGGGACAACUCGGGGAAACUCGAGCUAAUACCGCAUAAACUUGAGAAAGCAAAGUGGGGGACCUGAAAGGGCCUCAUGCCUUAAGAGGAGCCUACGUCGGAUUAGCUAGUUGGUAGGGUAAAGGCCUACCAAGGCGACGAUCCGUAGCUGGUCUGAGAGGACGACCAGCCACACUGGGACUGAGACACGGCCCAGACUCCUACGGAGGCAGCAGUGGGGAAUAUUGGACAAUGGGGGGCAACCCUGAUCCAGCAAUGCCGCGUGAGUGAUGAAGGCCUUCGGUGUAAGACUCUUUUGUCCAGGACGAUGAUGACGGUACCUGGUAGAAUAAGUACCCGG